This 493-nucleotide ribosomal RNA is filed under the name uncultured bacterium. RNAcentral describes it as "partial 16S ribosomal RNA". It matches the Rfam family "Bacterial small subunit ribosomal RNA", at positions 29 to 507 of the family's 1533-position model. The record is from RNAcentral.
AUUGAACGCUGGCGGCACGCUUAACACAUGCAAGUCGGACGGCAGCACGAGAGGGGUAACCCUCUGGGUGGCGAGUGGCGGACGGGUGAGUAACGCGUAGGGAUCUGCCUAUUAGAGGGGAUAAGCCGUGGAAACCGGGCGUAAUACCCCAUUAGCCCCGGGGGGGAAAGGGUGGGAGGUGGAAACGGGCCCAUUCCCAAAUGAUUAACCUGCGUUAGAUUAGCUAGUUGGUAGGGUAAAGGCCUACCAAGGCGAUGAUCCAUAGCUGGUCUGAGAGGAUGACCAGCCACACUGGAACUGAGAUACGGACCAGACUCCUACGGGAGGCAGCAGUGGGGAAUAUUGGACAAUGGGGGAAACCCUGAUCCAGCGAUGCCGCGUGUGUGAAGAAGGCCUGAGGGUUGUAAAGCACUUUAGUUGGUGAGGAAAGGGGAUGCGUUAAUAGCGCGUUCAAGUGACGUUAGCCAAAGAAUAAGCACCGGCAAACUCUGUG